Molecule: ribosomal RNA, 449 nt
Filed under: uncultured bacterium
Lineage: Bacteria
Description: bacterial SSU rRNA
Rfam family: Bacterial small subunit ribosomal RNA
Source: RNAcentral
UCGAGGAUCUUCGUCAAUGGGGGAAACCCUGAACGAGCGAUGCCGCGUGAGCGAUGAAGGCCUUCGGGUUGUAAAGCUCAAAAGAGGUGAGAAAGGGAAACUUGAUCAAACCUCAGUAAGCUCGGGCUAAGUUCGUGCCAGCAGCCGCGGUAAUACGUAGGGUGCAAGCGUUAAUCGGAAUUACUGGGCGUAAAGCGUGCGCAGGCGGUUGUGUAAGUCAGAUGUGAAAUCCCCGGGCUCAACCUGGGAAUUGCAUUUGAGACUGCACGGCUAGAGUGUGUCAGAGGGGGGUAGAAUUCCACGUGUAGCAGUGAAAUGCGUAGAUAUGUGGAGGAAUACCGAUGGCGAAGGCAGCCCCCUGGGAUAACACUGACGCUCAUGCACGAAAGCGUGGGGAGCAAACAGGAUUAGAUACCCUUGUAGUCCCUGAGCGGGCUGGCAAGGCGCAU